Molecule: ribosomal RNA, 452 nt
Filed under: uncultured bacterium
Lineage: Bacteria
Description: SSU rRNA
Rfam family: Bacterial small subunit ribosomal RNA
Source: RNAcentral
AGGAUGAACGCUGGCGGUCUGCUUAACACAUGCAAGUCGAACGGGCGUAGCAAUACGUUAGUGGCGGACGGGUGAGUAACGCGUGAGAAUCUACCUUCAGGACGGAGACAACAGUUGGAAACGACUGCUAACCCCCGAUGUACCGAAAGGGCAAAUAUUUAUAGCCUGAAGAAGAGCUCGCGUCCGAUUAGCUAGUUGGAGAGGUAAAAGCUCACCAAGGCGACGAUCGGUAGCUGGUCUGAGAGGACGAUCAGCCACACUGGGACUGAGACACGGCCCAGACUCCUACGGGAGGCAGCAGUGGGAAUUUUCCGCAAUGGGCGAAAGCCUGACGGAGCAAGACCGCGUGGGGGAAGAAGGGCUCUUGGGUUGUAAACCCCCUUUUUCUCUGGGAAGAACGCAAUGACGGUACCAGAGGAAUCAGCAUCGGCUAACUCCGUGCCAGCAGCCGC